CCUACGGGAGGCAGCAGUGAGGAAUAUUGGUCAAUGGGCGCUAGCCUGAACCAGCCAAGUCGCGUGAAGGAUGACUGCCCUAUGGGUUGUAAACUUCUUUUAUAUGGGAAUAAAGUGCAGUAUGUAUACUGCUUUGCAUGUACCUUAUGAAUGAGGAUCGGCUAACUCCGUGCCAGCAGCCGCGGUAAUACGGAGGAUCUGAGCGUUAUCCGGAUUUAUUGGGUUUAAAGGGAGCGUAGGCGGGUUGUUAAGUCAGUUGUGAAAGUUUGCGGCUCAACCGUAAAAUUGCAGUUGAUACUGGCAUCCUUGAGUACAGUAGAGGUAGGCGGAAUUCGUGGUGUAGCGGUGAAAUGCUUAGAUAUCACGAAGAACUCCGAUUGCGAAGGCAGCCUGCUGGACUGUAACUGACGCUGAUGCUCGAAAGUGUGGGUAGCAAACAGGAUUAGAUACCCCUGUAGUC
RNAcentral lists this ribosomal RNA (460 nucleotides) under uncultured bacterium. Its description in RNAcentral is "partial 16S ribosomal RNA". It matches the Rfam family "Bacterial small subunit ribosomal RNA", at positions 338 to 795 of the family's 1533-position model. The record is from RNAcentral.